RNAcentral lists this ribosomal RNA (191 nucleotides) under uncultured Staphylococcus sp. RNAcentral describes it as "partial 16S ribosomal RNA". It matches the Rfam family "Bacterial small subunit ribosomal RNA", at positions 338 to 521 of the family's 1533-position model. The record is from RNAcentral. Lineage: Bacteria; Bacillati; Bacillota; Bacilli; Caryophanales; Staphylococcaceae.
CCUACGGGAGGCAGCAGUAGGGAAUCUUCGGCAAUGGGCGGAAGCCUGAUGCAGCAACGCCGCGUGAGUGAUGAAGGUCUUCGGAUCGUAAAACUCUGUUAUCAGGGAAGAACAAAUGUGUAAGUAACUGUGCACAUCUUGACGGUACCUGAUCAGAAAGCCACGGCUAACUACGUGCCAGCAGCCGCGGU